UACGUAGGGGGCAAGCGUUGUUCGGAUUCAUUGGGCGUAAAGGGUGCGUAGGCGGCGCGGUAAGUCGGGUGUGAAAUUUCGAGGCUUAACUUCGAAACUGCAUUCGAUACUGCCGUGCUAGAGGACUGGAGAGGAGACUGGAAUUUACGGUGUAGCGGUGAAAUGCGUAGAUAUCGUAAGGAAGACCAGUGGCGAAGGCGGGUCUCUGGACAGUUCCUGACGCUGAGGCACGAAGGCCAGGGGAGCAAACGGG
This 253-nucleotide ribosomal RNA is filed under the name uncultured bacterium. RNAcentral describes it as "partial 16S ribosomal RNA". It matches the Rfam family "Bacterial small subunit ribosomal RNA", at positions 524 to 776 of the family's 1533-position model. The record is from RNAcentral.